This 492-nucleotide ribosomal RNA is filed under the name uncultured bacterium. RNAcentral describes it as "partial 16S ribosomal RNA". It matches the Rfam family "Bacterial small subunit ribosomal RNA", at positions 29 to 507 of the family's 1533-position model. The record is from RNAcentral.
AGUGAACGCUGGCGGUAGGCCUAACACAUGCAAGUCGAACGGCAGCACAGUAAGAGCUUGCUCUUACGGGUGGCGAGUGGCGGACGGGUGAGGAGUACAUCGGAAUCUACUUUUUCGUGGGGGAUAACGUAGGGAAACUUACGCUAAUACCGCAUACGACCUACGGGUGAAAGCAGGGGAUCUUCGGACCUUGCGCGAUUGAAUGAGCCGAUGUCGGAUUAGCUAGUUGGCGGGGUAAAGGCCCACCAAGUCGACGAUCCGUAGCCGGUCUGAGAGGAUGAUCAGCCACACUGGAACUGAGACACGGUCCAGACUCCUACGGGAGGCAGCAGUGGGGAAUAUUGGACAAUGGGCGCAAGCCUGAUCCAGCCAUACCGCGUGGGUGAAGAAGGCCUUCGGGGUGUAAAGCCCUUUUGUUGGGAAAGAAAAGCAGCAGGUUAAUACCCCGCUGUUCUGACGGUACCCAAAGAAUAAGCACCGGCUAACUUCGUG